GGUAGCUCAGUGGUAGAGUGCUUGCUUUACAUGCAUGAAGCUGUGGGUUCGAUUCCUCAGCACCA
Non-coding RNA from Dipodomys ordii (Ord's kangaroo rat), 65 nucleotides. The record is from Rfam. NCBI's taxonomy places the organism in Eukaryota, Metazoa, Chordata, Mammalia, Rodentia, Heteromyidae.